GCUCUGUGUAUUUUGAAAACCUCAUACUGCCACCUGCAAUUUCAUGAUCACCCAGGAAACUUUCAGAUAUCUUCAAAGAUGUUACUUUCCUGUAGGUGUUAUUUCCACUAAUGAGACCAGAGGGCAAGGCGACCUUGUCUUCCUCCUUCUGAAACUUUGUCUUCAUCCUUCACUGUCUGCUAUUUACUGCCACAGGGCUGUCUUUACCUAGUCCCUAUUUCUCUGAAAUUCUUCUUGAAUUUUAAACACUUUAUUUUUACCCUUUUCAGAGAAGCAGCAAUGCCUCUGGCUCAAAGACAAUGCAUUUGGGUACAACUGGCUGCCUGCAGGGUGAACCUCACCCUUCAGGCCUCGUCACAGCAGAGGAGUGGCUCAGGCACCAGGGCCCAGGCGCCGGGCACACCUGCUACAUUCCUCCAACUGGCUUGUUUUCAUUUUCUUUCCAAUUUAAAAGAAUGUAUUCAACAUUCCAUCUUUAGAAAAUGUGAUAACCAUCAAGUCUUUGCAUGAGAAAGCUGCCAGUUAAACCAAGGUUAGAGAAUUUCCAGCUUCCAGAAAUGCUCCUGCAUGACCAUCUCAGCCAGUACCCCACAACGAAGCCUCGAGUCUGACCUCCACCAUCAUAGGUUAGUUUUGUUUACUUUUGGACUUCAUAUAAAUGGAAUCAUACCGUGUGUACUCUUCUGUCUUUAAUUUGUUU
RNAcentral lists this long non-coding RNA (700 nucleotides) under Homo sapiens (human). RNAcentral describes it as "HSALNT0047842". Lineage: Eukaryota; Metazoa; Chordata; Mammalia; Primates; Hominidae. The record is from RNAcentral.